This is a long non-coding RNA of Austrofundulus limnaeus, 1217 nucleotides long. RefSeq lists it as uncharacterized. The transcript has 5 exons. NCBI's taxonomy places the organism in Eukaryota, Metazoa, Chordata, Actinopteri, Cyprinodontiformes, Rivulidae. The record is from RefSeq and is a predicted model, not a curated record.
AAAUGGGUUCUCUGCAACCCCUUCUUAUCUGGGUGUUUUAUCGAACAAAAGCACACCUCCCAAAUAAAACACCUUGUCGUGGAAAGCAACGUUUUACUCAGUGAUAAAUAAACUGAAAGACAGAUAGAUGGUGGUAAAUCGUGCACAUUUUGUAGUUGUAACUUUCUCCCUCUCGGUAAUACAGAGACACUUUUCGGAACGGGUUAUUAUUUUUUACAACACAACAGCAGCAAGUCUCACUCGUUACGCACAGUAGUUCUGGUUUGAGUAUUUUAUUCUUUUAAAGCACUCUGAUACUGGAUACUUAAAUAGUUUAGUAUCUAAAAUGUGAUUAACAAAACCAGCAAACCACUAAAGUGAUACAGUUUAAUUAAAUAAAGUUGCUGUAAUCUAGACUGGAUUACUACAUUUCCCACAAUGCACUUGUUUGUUGUAGUUUCCUAGGAAACGCUGUUAUCCACAGCUCGRUUGGUGGGUGAGGUGUUCACUGCUGUCUCAACAAUGUACGGAGCUCCAAUCGAUUUAUCUUUCAGAAGUAUUUGCAAACUGACAGAUGCAGUCACCUUGGAACCCAGGAGAGGUCUGCGGCCUUUAAAGAGAAACCCAGAGAGGAAAUACCUCGGCAGAUCUCUGCGUCUGAAUAACAAUAACAUCACAGAACUGCAUGAGCUCCAAAGCACUGUCAGCCACUUCCUGGCUGAACCCUCACGCCUCGACCUUUCCUUUAAUAAAAAUCGUACACAUAGACCAGGUUUUGUGCGAGCUGCAUGGCCUCCGUGUGUUACAUCUUCAUGGGAACAACAUUUUCAUUCUGUCAGAGGUGGACAGGUUGGGCGUUCUGCCUCAUCUUCACUCCAUCACCCUGCAUGGAAAUCCCAUAGAAAACAAGACGUACAGGAAUUGUGUGAUUUCUGCUUUGCCUCAAAUAAAGACGGUGGACUUCAGCGCUGUCACACAGCAGGAGCGAGUUUUGGCCAAGUUCUGGCAUCGAGACAACAUCAACAGACAGGAGCAGAGGAGAAACAAGACCAUAUCUGACAGAACAUAGGUUUCAUAGAGACCUACAMUCAGUCAAUCAGUGACACUUGUUCUAAUUCAGAGUUGUAAAGUAACUAAGUCCAAAUACUUUCUUACUGUAGUUGAGAAGAAUUUUUGGGUAUUACUUGAGUAAUUAUUUUUAGCCUACUUUAUACUUUUACUCCUUACAUUUAAAAAAA